UAUCAUCUAUUUGGUAAUUUCCAUCUUUUUCAAAAAUUUUGUGCUUGUUUUCAACUUAGUUUUUAAGAAGUGUACAAAUUUUGAGUUAAGAUCAAUGGUUCAUUUAUUAAUAAUUGAGAUUUAAAUCUGUUGUAUGAAUUACUAGGGUUUGAUUUAGAGUUUAGGAUUUGGUUUAGGAUUUGAUUAGGGUUUGAUUUAGGAUUUAGGAUUUGAUUAAGAUUUGAUUUAGAAUUUAGGAUUUUAUUAGGAUUUGUUUAGGGUUUAUUUAGGAUUUAACAUUUAGUUAGUUUUUGGCCUAAAGUUUUAAUGAAGUCCAAUAGGAUUUUAACUAGGAUUAAAUUAAGAUUGAAUUAAGAUGUAUUUGAGAUAUAUCUGUAAUCAUUCUAAUAUUUUUUUUAAGAUUUCUUAUUAUUUCUUUGUAAUUUUUUUGAGGUUUCUUUGAAUUUGAUUAAAGCUUACUUAGCAUUGUUAUGGUCUAAUUAAAAUUUAGUUAGUAUUCUAUUAGAAUUAGGAUUUUGUUGUUCCAAUUUAUAUUCUACCUUCCAUAGCAAGGUGCCUGGAGCAUUCUCAAGUAAGACUUCAC
This 583-nucleotide long non-coding RNA is filed under the name Physcomitrium patens. Its description in RNAcentral is "long non-coding RNA (PPAT_LNC013848)". Lineage: Eukaryota; Viridiplantae; Streptophyta; Bryopsida; Funariales; Funariaceae. The record is from RNAcentral.